AAAAAAUGACAUUGGGGGGUGCUUUAAAAUGUAGCAGAAUAAGAAUGGAGCAGUGAAGUAGAAGAACAGACGGUGGCGACAGGAAGGUAAAAUUGUCGUCACAAGACAAAGACAAAAAAACACUAGACACGUAAAUGAACAAACCACAGAGGAGAAAUAUGACACACACGAGACAGGGAACAAAAACUGACACUCAAAUGCUGAGGGUUUUUUUUUUUCUACGUCCUAUCUGAUUGAAUGUUCUUCAGAAAGUGGUGAUUGUAGCUGUUCCUGUCAGAGUGACGGACUGAAUGAGGAACUGCAGCGGGAGGGCGAGGAAGCACAGGAGCCAAACGUGUGUUAAAGAACAUGGAGAAUGUUCUGGACAAUUGACCGGUUUAACCCAAUGAUCAACAGACCGACUCAUACACUAAGGCUGGUAAACAUACUGACAUUUAUGCAGCCGUGGACAGGAAGUUGCGGACAACAGAAAAUCAACGUACCUCCAUAAACGAUUCCAAACUGUCCAGAUCCCAGCACUUCAUCAGCAAAAAUCUGAUACACCGUCCCAAUGUCCUGGAGGAGAUGGAUUUUAUUUAAAUGUAACCAUUAGCUUAGGUAUCAUAGAUAUUAAAUAUGUUCAUUUUUGUCAUGUACAUUUUUUAUUUAUAAUUAAAUAAAUUUCAACAUUAAAAAAUGCAUUUACAAAACAUA
Long non-coding RNA from Cynoglossus semilaevis (tongue sole), 693 nucleotides. RefSeq lists it as uncharacterized. The record is from RefSeq and is a predicted model, not a curated record. The transcript is spliced from 4 exons. NCBI's taxonomy places the organism in Eukaryota, Metazoa, Chordata, Actinopteri, Pleuronectiformes, Cynoglossidae.